UACUCAGCAGUAAUUAACAUUAAGCAAUAAGUGAAAACUUGACUUAGUUAUAGCGACCCUUACAGGGCCGGUAAAUCUUGUGCCAGCCACCGCGGUCAUACAAGAGGCCCAAACUAAUAGUAACCGGCGUAAAGCGUGGCAAUAUGUUAUCCAACUAACUAAGACCAAAAUACAACUAAGCUGUCAUAAGCCCAAGAUGCCCCUAGAACCUCCAUAAAUAUGAUCUUAGCAUCCACGACCUAUUUCAACCCACGAAAGCUAAGGCACAAACUGGGAUUAGAUACCCCACUAUGCUUAGCCCUAAAUUCAGAUACUUACUCUACACAAGUAUCCGCCCGAGAACUACGAGCACAAACGCUUAAAA
RNAcentral lists this ribosomal RNA (364 nucleotides) under Pachyornis elephantopus (heavy-footed moa). RNAcentral describes it as "partial 12S ribosomal RNA". It matches the Rfam family "Bacterial small subunit ribosomal RNA", at positions 345 to 899 of the family's 1533-position model. The record is from RNAcentral. Lineage: Eukaryota; Metazoa; Chordata; Aves; Dinornithiformes; Emeidae.